RNAcentral lists this long non-coding RNA (248 nucleotides) under Bos taurus (domestic cattle). RNAcentral describes it as "long non-coding RNA NONBTAT020598". Lineage: Eukaryota; Metazoa; Chordata; Mammalia; Artiodactyla; Bovidae. The record is from RNAcentral.
CUUCCUCUUUGUAUCAAGAACUCAAGUAACUGAUAGGAGUAUACCUAAACUUCACCCAAGAGAGUCCUGCUGAAGUUACUAGGUAGCAGAACAAUCACCAGUAUGCCUUUUAUUGUUGAGACUGUUACUGGUGGGAGGAGCUGUAAUGGAGAAUGAGUGGCAGCUCAUGGCAUGUCCCUGAAGGGGCUACUCAACUAGCGAGGUAUAAGCCUGAGAAGUGGUCCUGCCCACCCAGCAUUGUGAAUCAU